Molecule: transfer RNA, 81 nt
Filed under: Psiloclada clandestina
Lineage: Eukaryota; Viridiplantae; Streptophyta; Jungermanniopsida; Jungermanniales; Lepidoziaceae
Description: partial tRNA-Leu
Rfam family: tRNA
About the family: Transfer RNA (tRNA) molecules are approximately 80 nucleotides in length. Their secondary structure includes four short double-helical elements and three loops (D, anti-codon, and T loops).
Source: RNAcentral
UAUGACCGAAAUCGGUAGACGCUACGGACUUAAAAUCCGUUGGCUUUUUAGACCGUGAGGGUUCAAGUCCCUCUACCCCCA